GACGAACGCUGGCGGCAUGCCUAAUACAUGCAAGUCGAGCGAACAGAUGAAGUGCUUGCACUUCUGACGUUAGCGGCGAACGGGUGAGUAACACGUAAGGAAUCUACCUAUAAGCGGGGGAUAACAUUCGGAAACGGGUGCUAAUACCGCAUAAUAUCUUCUUCCGCAUGGAAGAAGAUUGAAAGACGGCUCUGCUGUCACUUAUAGAUGACCUUGCGGUGCAUUAGUUAGUUGGUGGGGUAAUGGCCUACCAAGACGAUGAUGCAUAGCCGGCCUGAGAGGGUGAUCGGCCACAUUGGGACUGAGACACGGCCCAAACUCCUACGGGAGGCAGCAGUAGGGAAUCUUCCGCAAUGGGCGAAAGCCUGACGGAGCAAUGCCGCGUGAGUGAAGAAGGCCUUCGGGUCGUAAAACUCUGUUAUAAGAGAAGAACAAAUUGUAGAGUAACUGCUACAGUCUUGACGGUAUCUUAUCAGAAAGCCACGGCUAACUACGUGCCAGCAGCCGCCGUAA
Molecule: ribosomal RNA, 513 nt
Filed under: uncultured bacterium
Lineage: Bacteria
Description: partial 16S ribosomal RNA
Rfam family: Bacterial small subunit ribosomal RNA
Source: RNAcentral